Long non-coding RNA from Pangasianodon hypophthalmus (striped catfish), 3099 nucleotides. RefSeq lists it as uncharacterized. The record is from RefSeq and is a predicted model, not a curated record. The transcript has 3 exons. Lineage: Eukaryota; Metazoa; Chordata; Actinopteri; Siluriformes; Pangasiidae.
AGACUCCGUAAUGUGCAAGAACACAGCCUAGCCUCCUGAUUGUCCCCCUCAUUAGGCCCAAAUAGAGCUUUAGAAUACAAUUUCUUACUUUAUUCCAAAGAUUAAAUCUUUGGAAAAUAAAUCCUGGAAUAUGGGCUAAUCCAGAUCCUAAGAAUAUUUAUGUAUUUUAGAUUAGAAUGAAUUAAGGUCCUGAAAACCAUGUAUAUUUAUUUACACAAGUUGAUGAUAAACUCACAUUGUAAUGGUGAUAAACUAUUAACUGUUUAGUCAUAAAAAUGUGUAUAUGUGAAUACUUCUACAAACAGGUUAUUUCCAGCAGGAAAGGCUAUAGCAGGUCAGAUCAGCAGAUUAGGAAUUAUUUCAGAUAUGAAAUAUGGACCCUUCCCCUAAUAAGCCAAAUCUCCAACACAUAAUCAAAUAUAGCUUUAUAACCAGUUUGCUGUGUGUGUAUGAGAGUGUAAUGAAUUGGUGACAGAUGUUGCUUGUUCAGAGGGGCUGUACAGUCCCACAGGGUCAGCUGAGUUUAGCUGAAAUCAUGCACAGCCAUUAUGCUUGAUGUAACCCUACAGAACAUGCAUCUGCUGAUUGGAUUCUCAUAUCUUCAUUUUACAUACAUUAUUUAAGGAAUAAAACACUUGGAAGCAUGCUGUAUAGAAACAUAAUCAGUGGAGGUGUGCUGUGAUGAGGCUCAGUGUGAACUAGUUACUGCUACCACCCCGAAGUUGAUUAUUUUCCUAUAACCGCAUGUCCUGAAGUGUUUUAUUCCUCUUAUACCACGGCAGUAUGACAGUGAUUGCAGUCAUUUAUUAAUUACAGAAAAACACAUCCCAUUUUUUAUCGAUUAUAGUUACAGUUAAUGUUGUUGAACAUCCACAAACCAAGUUAAUUUCUAUUAUCACUUAUGUUGUAGCAGGUAUAAACAGUCAUUCCCUCACCAGCCUCUCUUUUUUCUCUCUCUCUUGAAGUUAAUAAGACAAAAAUGCAGCUUGUCAUGUUACAGGGAAACCACAAAGCCCUCUGCUCUGAGAGCUUUUCUGUAACGGAAAUAAUUAAAGUUACAGCUUUUCCUCUGACUGACAAAAAACUGACAUUGGAGAGCCCUUCUAAAAAUGCUAAAUAACUGACUCCUUGCAGAAAACUUCACCAUAUCAAUAAUUACACAUUAAAAAUUUUAAAUCAUUUAUGUGUAUUCUACAACAACAAUGUGGAAUAAGUGAUUUAAUAUAAACCUUGCUGUCUGAGCGAUGCGGUUAUAGAAAAUUAUCAACACUUUUGACCAAUAGGAAUAGAGUAUUCAAUAACGCUGUGGUAUACAUAUGAAUAUAUGAACGUUUAUCGCAUAAAGUUAAUACUGAUGUUAAUGUAAAUACACAUUUAGAUGGUUUUAAUGUGGAUUGGCAGUAGUGCAGUAAUAUUGGUGAUCUAGUGGAAUUAAUCCUCAACAAAAACAUUUGAAGCUUUUACUCCUUAAUUGCUGACAUCGAACAUGAAGUUGAAUUAUAAACUAAAUACGUUUUAUAUGCAAAAUCAUUAAGAAAUUUCUGAGAUUAAUUCACUAACUCAAUUAAGUUAUAUUACGUUAUAUUUUUACACAAUCAGGAAAGCAUUUUUGUGUUCUGAUAUGACAGAUCAAUCAGGCCACUGUGUCACUGUGUUAAUUUGAUUAUAUUCCAAUAUCUCAUCUUUGUUCAAAAGCAAAGCCCUUCUAUUUCCUAUUAGCAUUGGUAUUCAAAGCAGACCUGAACAAAGCUUGUUCUGUCAUUCCAUGAUCUUCUGCUCUGUGUGUCAAAGCAGAUUAAUAUAAUCUAAUCAGUAUUCAUUUUGCAUUACUUCAGCCUUUUUUAAAUCGUUUGUCUUCUUGUUUUAAAGGAGGGACAAUAUAGAGUUCAUUCUGACAAGAAAGGUUUGUUUAAGAGAAACAGAUCUAGGGCAGUAAUGGCUACUGUGUGUAUAUCUCAUUAUUACAGCCAAAAAUACUGCUGGAAUCUUAGUGCAUUACAUGGUAAUUAAUGUCCAAAGACCCAGUUUUGCAUGUUUGUUUCUUAUGAAAUGUAUAGACUCAUGCAAAGUUCCAUAACUUGCUUAGUGAUGAGGCUAACUAAAUGUAUGUUAUAUUUUACCCCUCUUCCACACAUUCUUCAGUGGAAUGGCAGACAGGCUCUGUUAUUUUUCUUGGCAUGAUCUGGUCAUGCAGUGUGCCAGUGUGCAAUGCAAUGCUACAGUCUGGCUGUGUGCUUGAACCCAGAGUCAAUGGAGGCAUAGGUAUCCAUCAUCGACACACACACAUAUACCUUGAAAUGUGCCUUAAAAUGCUGCAAGCACAUAAUCGAGUCGAGACUCCAUACACAGAAGGAGGUUCACACACAGACUGUCAUCUGACCAUGCAGUUUUGGAGACAGAAAAUCAAGAGAAGAGGAACUGCUUGUGUGACUUGACUGUAUGCGGCCACAGUUGGUGCAGUUGGCGUUCCAAUUCAUCCCAAUGGUGUUCAGUGGGGUUGAUGUCAGGGCUCUGUGCAGGCCACUCGAGUUCUUCUACUCCAGCCUUGGCAAACCAUGUCUUCAUGGACCUUGCUUUAUGCUCAGGGGCAUUGCCAUGUUGGAACAGAUUGUGAGGAGCUUGCACAUCAGGACGAGUGGAUUCACCCGAGCUGAUGGCGUGACACUGAAAAAAUUCUGAUACUGUGAGGAUUUUGCCUGCAGAUACGGAUUUAAGUAACAUAUUGACCCCUGACAGGGAACUUUGAUAGAGAGUUUGGAGUUUCUGACUCCAGACGAAAAUAAGACAUCUGUAAUUAUUUUAGUGGAUCUCUACAGUUACGGCUAAACAGGACUGAGUGUGGGUUAUCUUCAUAAAGUAGGAUUCUCAAAGAGGAGGCUUCAAAAUACCAAUACACUUCAAUCAUAUACAAAUGGAAGGCCUUUUUUGCACCCUGACUGGAGAUGCAAGAUUCAAAGAUACAGACAUUCUGAUUUUGAUCUUUGAAAAGAAAUUUGAAGCAUGCAGCAGGACAACUGAGCCAGCAGUGAAAGAAUUGAACGACAAAGUCCUUGUUAGAAAAACAAAAGUACUAACAAAAAAGUAAACCCCCCCCCCCCC